Long non-coding RNA from Trifolium pratense (red clover), 532 nucleotides. RefSeq lists it as uncharacterized. The transcript is spliced from 3 exons. Lineage: Eukaryota; Viridiplantae; Streptophyta; Magnoliopsida; Fabales; Fabaceae. The record is from RefSeq and is a predicted model, not a curated record.
AGGAAUUGGGUUAAGGAAUCAAAUGAAGCUAUGAUGUACGGGUACUCCAUUUGAGGGAGAGUACCAGUACCGGGUACGUACCCUACCCGUAUCUUAAUUUUCGCCCAUACACGUACAGUUUUUCUAAAAAUGGCGUACCCAGUACUGGUACCUGUAUCGUACCCGCACCUAGGCAACGUUGAAUGAAGGUGAUCGAUCAUUAGGCUUAUAUAAUAAUUUUGGGUACUGCCAGAUUAGGAGGACAAGAAAGAAGUUCCUUCCCACUGCCAUGAGGAAGACAAGAAAGAAGACGGGGAGGGAACCACCAUAAUUAGGAGGACGAGCAAAACCGUGAUAGGGAUGCUGGCUGGAAGGUCAUAAUACUCCUAUUGGUAAGGGGAGAAUGAACGAAAAAAUGCAGCAAAUCGGAGAAAGCUAAAGAUGAAUUAUUCACUAGGAACCAAGUUGAUUGCAAGGACACAAGAUGAGUUGGUGAAUCUGCACAACAACUCAAAGCUAAGGCUAAAAUUUCAUGAAGUUCUUUCUAAUGUUG